AUGUCGAUGUGUCGCAGAUCUGGUUUGUGGUUGGUUCGUCAAUGGAUGACCGACGGAGGAAGCUACAGCUCGUGGCGGCGUGAAGGUUUCAACGGAAUUGGACGGCGUUCACAGGGAGGUGAUGACACGGUAACGGGCGUGGUCCGAUGUGCCGUCGGGAGGAGGUGGUCGUUUGAUGACUUCGUUGGUGUAGGACGCGAGUUGCAGAUCUGCUCGCGGUGGAGGGAGAUCGAGGAGAGGUUUAUGUAA
Non-coding RNA from Vicia faba (fava bean), 249 nucleotides. Lineage: Eukaryota; Viridiplantae; Streptophyta; Magnoliopsida; Fabales; Fabaceae. The record is from the annotation of a GenBank genome assembly.